Molecule: non-coding RNA, 451 nt
Organism: Drosophila melanogaster (fruit fly)
Lineage: Eukaryota; Metazoa; Arthropoda; Insecta; Diptera; Drosophilidae
Source: Ensembl
UCAUUGUAGUUUGCUGGUGCGUAGGGGUUGGGACCUCGCUUGGGGUUGAUUUUAACCCGCAGCAUUUCCAGCUUCGAUGGCUAAUGGGACUCGCCUGCAUUGUGCCCCUCGCUUGUGCCUGCCACACGCAUUCUUGACCCAAAAAUCCGAGAGAGCGAAAAAGGGGCAGCUGCAGCUGCACCAGCAACUCCUUGGCCAAAGACCGAAGAUCAAGGCUCCCAGCAGUGGCGUGUCAAAUGGCCAACCAGCUGUUGCCAUCCCAGUAAAUCAAAACCAAUCGGCGAGCAAACAAUUGGGAAAUGGGAAACCCAUCCUAGAACCAUUGUCCUUCCAUCGGCGACAUAUGUGCAGCUUCACAGUUGACUUGGGUGCAAUUAGCAGGAGUUGCACCCUCGCUUUUCACAGUUUCUAGUUGUCAGCCAUGCAAAUGAGUUGAGUGCAUGUUGAUUAC